This 484-nucleotide ribosomal RNA is filed under the name uncultured bacterium. RNAcentral's name for it is "partial 16S ribosomal RNA". It matches the Rfam family "Bacterial small subunit ribosomal RNA", at positions 29 to 507 of the family's 1533-position model. The record is from RNAcentral.
AUUGAACGCUGGCGGCAUGCUUUACACAUGCAAGUCGAACGGCAGCGCGGGCUUCGGCCUGGCGGCGAGUGGCGAACGGGUGAGUAAUACAUCGGAACGUGCCCAGUAGUGGGGGAUAGCUCGGCGAAAGCCGGAUUAAUACCGCAUACGACCUGAGGGUGAAAGCGGGGGAUCUUAGGACCUCGCGCUAUUGGAGCGGCCGAUGGCAGAUUAGCUAGUUGGUGGGGUAAAGGCCUACCAAGGCGACGAUCUGUAGCUGGUCUGAGAGGACGACCAGCCACACUGGGACUGAGACACGGUGCAGACUCCUACGGGAGGCAGCAGUGGGGAAUUUUGGACAAUGGGCGAAAGCCUGAUCGAGCAAUGCCGCGUGUGUGAUGAAGGCCUUCGGGUUGUAAAGCACUUUUGGCGGGAACGAAAAGGACUGUGCCAAUACCACGGUUCGAUGACGGUACCCGCAGAAUAAGCACCGGCUAACUACGUG